UCUNUGGGCCGUUACUGACGCUGAGGAGCGAAAGCGUGGGGAGCGAACAGGAUUAGAUACCCUGGUAGUCCACGCCGUAAACGUUGGGCACUAGGUGUGGGGGGCCUUUUCCGGNUCUUCCGCGCCGUAGCUAACGCAUUAAGUGCCCCGCCUGGGGAGUACGGCCGCAAGGCUAAAACUCAAAGGAAUUGACGGGGGCCCGCACAAGCGGCGGAGCAUGCGGAUUAAUUCGAUGCAACGCGAAGAGCCUUACCAAGGCUUGACAUGUGCCGGUCGGCUCCGGAGACGGGGCUUCCUCCUUGUGGGGCCGGUUCACAGGUGGUGCAUGGUUGUCGUCAGCUCGUGUCGUGAGAUGUUGGGUUAAGUCCCGCAACGAGCGCAACCCUUGUCCCGUGUUGCCAGCACGUUGUGGUGGGGACUCGCGGGAGACUGCCAGGGUCAACUCGGAGGAAGGUGGGGAUGACGUCAAAUCAUCAUGCCCCUUAUGUCUUGGGCUUCACGCAUGCUACAAUGGCCGGUACAGAGGGCUGCGAUACCGUGAGGUGGAGCGAAUCCCUUAAAGCCGGUCUCAGUUCGGAUCGGUGUCUGCAACUCGACACCGUGAAGUUGGAGUCGCUAGUAAUCGCAGAUCAGCAACGCUGCGGUGAAUACGUUCUCGGGCCUUGUACACACCGCCCGUCACGUCAUGAAAGUCGGCAACACCCGAAGCCCGUGGCCCUACGGGGAGCGGUCGAA
RNAcentral lists this ribosomal RNA (735 nucleotides) under uncultured bacterium. RNAcentral's name for it is "bacterial SSU rRNA". It matches the Rfam family "Bacterial small subunit ribosomal RNA", at positions 726 to 1460 of the family's 1533-position model. The record is from RNAcentral.